UCAGGCUGGUCUCGAACUCCUGACCUCGUGAUACACCUGCCUCGGCCUCCCAAAGUGCUGGGAUUACAGGCGUGAGCCACCACGCCCGGUCAUGAUUAAUGUUAUUUUAUGAUGCCAUGUGAGUCCUUACCAUCACCUUCCAUGAAGACGUAACUGACAAAGACAUCCAAUUUGAUGCUUUCAUUGGAGAAACCCAGCCUUGGCCAUUGAAGGGCACAACUUUGGGUUUCUUUGAGAUUUAAUCUGGUCCUUGGAGUCCCAAAUGGCAGAUGUGGCCAGUAACAGCUUUUUACAAAUCUUCAAAUCCCACUGACACUGGGAUUCUGCCCUUCAGAUGUGGCCGUGGUUUUUUCAUUGGCAGGGCAGGAUAUGUUACUCUCCAUUUAACAUCGGCCCACCCAAAGUGUUAGCCUGCUGUUUCGUACAUGAAUCCAUCUUAAAUGCCUCCGAGUCUCCCGGCGAAGGGUGCUGCCAUCAGCAGCAGCCAAUAAAUGAAAUAAUACCAGAUAUAAAAUCAGCCACAUUGGUCUCCUGGAGGUAAAUAGAGCACAGGGGCGUUUUAUUUACUGAAAGGCCAGAAUGGCGAUACCUGUAAAUGUUGAAUGUGAAUGUGUUUUAUAAAGUGUAAAGGGCUAUAAAGAAGUCAGUUAUUAUGUUUAUUAUUGCUCCUGCUCUGUACACUUGAUCAAAUGACAAACCCAAAGACUCACUUCUCUGGGCUCCGGUUUCCUUACUAAAAUGAGGGAAUUAUGUUUAAUAUCCCAAGGUCCCAUUUUUUUUUUUCUUUGACUCCAUGAAUCUAUCAGCAGGAACUUCCAUCCAAGUUCCUGAAAUGUGGGAAUAUAUUUGGUGAUGCUGUUUACAUAUAAUAUUAAAUUAUUUUGCAUAAAUUUUUCAGAAUGUGUUUUGUAUAAUAUCGAAGACGAAGAGGGAAAAAGUAAGGUAAGAUGGGAAAGUAGGCCAUAAGAAAGGAUAAGGAGAAACACUUAAGAAAAUCUACCUAUUAUUAUAAUUAAAAUUCAACUUACCUGGAAAGGGGAGGAGGGUAUUUAUGAUUAACAUGAAUAUAGUCUGUGCUCAUUGCAAAGUAAAUUUUCAGAAAAAAAGGGCAAAAUCUGAUUAUUUUAAUCAUCAGAUUAAAUGAAAUUAGAAAUCCCACCUACCUUUUAAAGUAAACAGCAAACUUAAUAUUUUACUACAUAAAAGAAACAAUUGAAAUAAUCCUAACUUCAGGUUAUCGUUGCAUGUAACAGAACACCGUAUUUGAAAAUGAUCCUCAUUGAGUUUUUUGGAUUCAGCAACUUUUUCUGUGGCUAAGAAUGUCCCUUGAGUUUCCUGAAAUCUGCUAGAAUGCUGGGAAGAGCUGUGUAGAAAUACUUCCAAAGGGUCAGGAAGUAAUUUAGGAUUUUGCAUUCAAUGGAAUCAAUCUUUCUUGUGUAUUUUUACUUACCUUUUUAGACAAUAGGCCAAUGAUUGUAGGGUUUGUUCUAGCCUUGAAACCAACUCUCUGCAGAGCAACUCCUGUUUCCACAAAGGGUGCAUCAGGAUGCACAGGACCCCGGAUCGCGGGCCCCACGUGUGAACGAAGCAACACAGACCAUCGAUAACAGAGACCUCUCUAGGUAACAGUAUCUUCAACAAUCGUUCAGCUGUUCAGAAACUUAAAAAUCAUGAGGCGAUUCUUAAAGGAUAGGAAUUCAUAUUGAUCACACAACGUGUAAUCCCACAUCUAUAUACUGGCAAAUGGUGGCACAAACACCAUAAAAUCUCGGCUUGCUUUGUAGCCAUUCUGGAUUGCUGAGUUCUAGAUGGUUGACUUGACCAUGUUCUCCAAUUUGAUGUGGGUACUAUGACCGAGGCAUAGUGCUUGCCAUUGUUUCACCUUGACUUCCUCACUUUGUACACCAAGGGUUAUGCAUGCCAUGAUUGAGGAACUGCCUGUGUUCUACCCUUCAAUGAAUGGAAAGAAAUGUAGAUCCAGAAAAGAAAAAUGUGCCCUUAAGUUCCUCAAUAUUUUGGGAAAUUGCCAAGUGGUUACUGUAGUAGAUUACAGUAUUGUUUGCAAUUAUUUGUCGUUUCUCCUUUAAAAGGAUUAUACAUCCCUGCCUUAGACCCCUUAUAGCUGCCAUGCCAUGAGCCACCCUGUAGAGAGGUCUAUGUGACAAAGCACUGAGGGAGACCCCCAGCCAACAGCCAGUGAGGAAGUGGAACCCUCAGUCCAACAGACUCCAUUGGAUGGAAUCCUAUUGGCAACCACAUGCAUGGACUUGGAAGAGGAUCCUGCCCCAGUCACACCUUCAGAUGGGACUGCAGCCUCAGACAGCAGUUGGAUUGCAACCUCAUGAGAUACUUUGAGCCAGAAGCUCCUGACUGAGUCGUGCCUGGCUUCAUAAACCACAGAAGUUGUAGCUAAUACAUGUUUAUUGGUUCAAGCUGCUAAGUUUUGGGGUAAUUUAUCACACAGCAAUAGAUAACUAAUAUAGGUAGGUACUGGUAUUAUUUGUGUUUUACAGAAGAAGAACCUGAGGUUUAGAGAGGAUAGGAAAUGAUGCAGCCAGGAUGUGAACCUUCAAAUAUGACUCCAAGGACUGCGCAAUUGAUAACUAGAAUCAGUUUUGGAUAACGUUAAGCACAUUCUGUUGUUCAGUCCAGCUUGGUACUGUGCAGAAACUUUGUGGUUCCAGACUUUAGAAAAGCUAGUAUGAGCAGACAAAAGGAUGGUUUCCUCCCAAGCCAGGUAAACAUUUUAAAAGAUACACAAGAAAAAAAUUAUAGAUCAUGCAGCAACAAUAGAGCAUUAACAUUCCAUUUCUAACAAAGAUGAUCUUAGUAUUAGUCAGAGUUCUCCAGAGAGACAAAACUAAUAGGAGAUAGAUAGAUGGAUGGAUAGAUAGAUAGAUAGAUAGAUAGAUAGAUAGAUAGAUAGAUAGAUGAUGGAUAGAUAGACAGACAGGAGAGGAUUAUUAGGGGAAUUGGCUUAUGUGAUUAUGGAGGCAGAGAAGUCCCACGACAAGCUGCCCACAAACUGCAUGCCCGUAGUGUGGCUCAGUCCAAAAGCCUCAGAACCAGAGAAGCCAAUGGUGCAACUCUCAGUCUGAGGCCAAAGGCCUGAGAGCCCAGGGUGUCCUGGACUCUAAAUGCUGAAAAGCCUGGAGUUCUGAUAUCCAAGGGUAACAGAAGCAGGGUGUUCCAGGUGCAGGAGAGAGAAAGAAAGAAUUCUCCUUUCCUCUGCCUUGUGGUUCUCUAUGGGCCCCCAGCUGAUUGGAUGGUGCCCACCUACACUGAGGGCAGAUCUUUCCCACUCGGUCCACUGACUCACAUGCCAGUCUCCACUGGAAACACCCUCACAGACACACCCAGAUUUGAGGCUUUACCAGCUCUCUAGGUAUUCCUUAAUCCAGUUAAGACCUAAAAUUAACUAUCACAGCUUCCCUGCCUUCCAGUCCACCACUCAAAAAUAACCAUUCUCAGCAGUUCCUUCUGUUCUCUAUUGCCUCAAAAUUAUGCAAAACACAGCAAAUGUGGAUGUACAUUUGCAUAUAUAAAAAUAUUUUGUGUGUGUGUGUAUGUGUGUACACAUAUAUAUAUACAGUUGACUCUAGAGCAACAUGAGGGUUAGGGGCACCAAUCCCCCAACACAGUUGAAAAUCUGCAUAUAACUCUUGACUCCCCUAAAACAUAACUACGAAAAGCCUAUUGUUGAUCAGAAGCCUUACCAAUAACACAGUCAAGCAACACCUAUUUUGUACGUUAUAUGUAUUAGAUGCUGUAUUCUUAGAAAAAAGUAAGCUAGAGAAAAGAAAAUCCUAAGGAAGAGAAAAUAUACUUACUAUGUGUCGAAUGGAAGUAGAUCAUCCUAAAGGUCCUCAUCCUCAUUGUGUUCAUGUUGAGUAGCCUGAGGAGUGGGGAGGAAGAGGAGGGACUGGUCUUGCUGUCUCAGGGAUAGCAGAGGUAGAAGAAAAUCUGUGUAUAGUGGACCUGCACAGUUCAAACCCAUGCUGUUCAAGGGCCAAUUGUGUACACAACACCACACACACACACACAUACACACGAGUAUGCACAAAAAUUUGGGAUCAUGGUUAUUUCUAUUAUUUAUAGCUACAUAACAAAUCACCCCCAAACAUAGUGGUCUAAAACAGUAGCAAGUGUUUCUCCUCAGUCCUGGUUUCUGUGGGUCAGGAACGUGGAAAGAGCUCAGCAGGCUGGCCUGGUAUUGCUUGUGCAGGGGCAGGCAGAGACUAAAGCUGGAGCACCUGGGCACAUCUCUCUCCCCAUCAUCUUUCCACUUGUGUUAGUUUGGGCUUCCUCAUAGCAUGGUGAUCUCAGGCUGCCCACUUAGCCACUAAAGGCUUAAGAACAAGUAUCCUAGCAACAAGGCAGAAGAUGCAUCACUUUUUAUAGCCUAGACUCAGUAUCAUAUAGUAUCAUUUCUCUCCUCCCCUAUUGGUCAAAACAACCACAAAACUUGCCCAGUGUGAAGGGAAUUUCAUCUCCCAAUGGAAGAAGUGUCAAAGAAUUUGCAGACAAAGUUUUAAAUUUCCAUAAUGAUAUACUCAUACCACUCUAAUGUAGAGUAGGUGCACACAUCCAAGAAAGUCUCUAAAACAAUUCAGGGGUAUGAAAAUAUAGUAGAGCUUAUAUUUCUUUGUUUUAAUUCACCCCUUUUGCUUUAUUUUUGUAUCUCUUUAUGUACAUAUACAUGUAUAUGUUCUAUAAAUAAAUAAAUACAUUGGGGAAUGUGCCCAAAAGUUUUACACAAUUUAAAAACUUUGUCAGAUAUUGUUAAAUAUGUUGCCCUUGCUUCUUUAUUUUCUACUUAUUAAAAUUAAAAAUCCUUUAUAUGCAAACUC
Non-coding RNA from Macaca mulatta (Rhesus monkey), 4850 nucleotides. The record is from RefSeq and is a predicted model, not a curated record. Lineage: Eukaryota; Metazoa; Chordata; Mammalia; Primates; Cercopithecidae.